This 65-nucleotide transfer RNA is filed under the name Sphedanolestes impressicollis. RNAcentral describes it as "tRNA-Leu". The record is from RNAcentral. Lineage: Eukaryota; Metazoa; Arthropoda; Insecta; Hemiptera; Reduviidae.
ACUAUUUUGGCAGACAAGUGCAAUAAAUUUAGAAUUUAUCCAUGUAGAUUUCUCUACAAAUAGUA